GAUGAACGCUGGCGGCGUGCCUAAUACAUGCAAGUCGAGCGAAUGGAUUGAGAGCUUGCUCUUAUGAAGUUAGCGGCGGACGGGUGAGUAACACGUGGGUAACCUGCCCAUAAGACUGGGAUAACUCCGGGAAACCGGGGCUAAUACCGGAUAACAUUUUGAACCGCAUGGUUCGAAAUUGAAAGGCGGCUUCGGCUGUCACUUAUGGAUGGACCCGCGUAGCAUUAGCUAGUUGGUGAGGUAACGGCUCACCAAGGCAACGAUGCGUAGCCGACCUGGGAGGGUGAUCGGCCACACUGGGACUGAGACACGGCCCAGACUCCUACGCGAGGCAGCAGUAGGGAAUAUUCCGCAAUGGACGAAAGUCUGACGGAGCAACGCCGCGUGAGUGAUGAAGGCUUUCGGGUCGUAAAACUCUGUUGUUAGGGAAGAACAAGUGCUAGUUGAAUAAGCUGGCACCUUGACGGUACCUAACCAGAAAGCCACGGCUAACUACGUGCCAGCCGCCGCAGUAA
This 515-nucleotide ribosomal RNA is filed under the name uncultured bacterium. RNAcentral describes it as "partial 16S ribosomal RNA". It matches the Rfam family "Bacterial small subunit ribosomal RNA", at positions 28 to 523 of the family's 1533-position model. The record is from RNAcentral.